This 253-nucleotide ribosomal RNA is filed under the name uncultured bacterium. RNAcentral's name for it is "partial 16S ribosomal RNA". It matches the Rfam family "Bacterial small subunit ribosomal RNA", at positions 524 to 776 of the family's 1533-position model. The record is from RNAcentral.
UACGUAGGGUGCAAGCGUUGUCCGGAAUUAUUGGGCGUAAAGAGCUCGUAGGCGGUUCGUUGUGUCUGUGGUGAAAGCCCCGGGCUUAACCUGGGAAUGGCCAUGGAAACUGGCGAGCUGGAGUGUGGCAGAGGGGGGUGGAAUUCCGCGUGUAGCAGUGAAAUGCGUAGAGAUGCGGAGGAACACCGAUGGCGAAGGCAGCCCCCUGGGCUAACACUGACGCUGAGGCACGAAAGCGUGGGGAGCAAACAGG